Molecule: long non-coding RNA, 1585 nt
Organism: Peromyscus californicus insignis
Lineage: Eukaryota; Metazoa; Chordata; Mammalia; Rodentia; Cricetidae
Exons: 4
Source: RefSeq, a predicted model, not a curated record
UGUCGGGGUUCAGAACGUUGAUCUUCUGCACAUCCUUGUUGUAUACCGAGUGUGCUGGACCGAGAGGAUGGUGCUGUGAAUCCUCGAACACAGUAAAACAUUCCAGUUGACUUUUUCCAUCUGGUACACAUCCUCGCCUUGGGACCUGUCGCCUUGGAUUGGACACAAAAGAUUCCAGCAGGAUGUUUUCCUUUAAAGAGAUGGAGCCUUGCUGGGUGGUGGUGGCGGCACAUGUCUUUAAUUCCAGCACUUGGAAGGAAGAGGCAGGAGGAUCUCUGUGAGUUGGAGGCCAGCCUGGACUACAGAACAUCAGAGGAGAGCUUCGGAUCCCUUGGAACUGGAAUAACAGACAGUUGUGAGCAGCUAUGUAGAUGCUCAGAACUGAAGUUGGUCCUCUGCUAGAGAAGCAAGUGUUCUUAACCACUGAACCAUCUCUCCAGCCACCAAGGGAUGUGAUUAACCCAGCUAUACGUGAAGUCUCCCAAAACCUACAACAAACAAACAACGCUAAUGAAGCAUGGUAACAUCCUCCGACAAGCCUGAACUCCAGUGAAGGACAUCAUGUAGAGUCACGGUGCCCUUCUCCAUCAGAGCCAAAGCCCUCUGUGGACCAAUCCCAUCCUCGACCAAGUGUUGGAGACUCACAGUUCUCCUUACGGUUCAGGGCCCUCUUCUGCAGCUGCGUUGACUUGUCCUAAUUGUCAAGAGUCUGAAGAGGGGGAUGAAAACAGGAUAGGAUGUGAAGACAGCUUAUGAACUGUAAAGUAUUAUUAAAACCAAAGCCAUUACACUUAUUUUUUUUCCUUAAGGAAUUUUCCAAUCCAUUCCAUCCUGGAUUCAAAACAAAACAAAAACAACCAAAACCACUUUACUUUAUCCUGAAAUAUUUAAUAAGCUAUAAGAAGCAUUUUGAUUUGUGGGGAAAGAUGAAACCUCAAAUUGAAUUUCUAAGUGCUUGGUUUGUGUCUAUUACUAAUUUAUUUCUGUGUUAAACUUCAGAUGACGUGUGAUAAACAGUCUGUGUCACAAUGCUAUUGAUUGCCCUGCAUUACAAGCUGAAUUAAAUGUGCAUUAUCUUGGGGCUGGUCACCGUGAGGGAUGCUUUAAAAGGUUUUGAGGGAGAAUAAGUGAAGACCAUUAGGGUCCUCCAGACUCCGUCGCCCGUUGACCCCGGUCACCUGGGGAAGUUCUCCUGCAGUUUGGUUGCAUGUAUAUCUUUGUCUUAAUGCUUCCUCUAAUGGUUUCUAAUGGCUACUUGGACACACCACAUUCUUCGUAAAGAAAUAGCUCUCUCCCACAACCUUGUCUUGGGCACCUUCUAGAAAACUGGACCUUUGUGUAUAUCCGUGUCAAAUACAAAAUUCCAGGGUGAGUCUCUGCACUAGUCAUUCCUCUGUUGCUGUGAUAAACACCCAUGUCUGGAAGCAGCAAACAGAGGGAAGAGUUUAUUUGGCUUAUGGGUCCAGAGGAUAAUGGUGCGGCAUGGCCAGGAGGCAGGGCCGCAGGUGGCAGGCAUGGCAUCUGGAGCAGAAGCCAAGGGUUCACAUCUUGAACCCAAAGCAUGAAACAGAGAGCAGGCUGAAGA